This 475-nucleotide long non-coding RNA is filed under the name Homo sapiens (human). RNAcentral's name for it is "non-protein coding LINC00472:53". Lineage: Eukaryota; Metazoa; Chordata; Mammalia; Primates; Hominidae. The record is from RNAcentral.
GGCUAAGUCACUUUAUCUCUCCAGCCAUUGAAAGCUUGGAUUAAAUCAUAGGCUUUAGAGCUAGGUUCCAUGGAGCUUUGGAGUUCUGUUAUACCUGUCACAGGAUAGGGACCAUUGAUAAAAGAGACUCUUAGCAGAUGAGAAUCUGGACAUCUGGGCUCGGAGAAGCUUUGAUUUUACCUGUUUUUAUACACUGAUUUAAGGGAACCCACACAAUUAUACAAAAAUAAAUGAAACGGUCUCCCUAUAAUUGCAUGGCCAAAGACCAGAGAGAUCAACAGCAGUGUAUUAGUCAUAUGUACUCACAGACCACGGGAGAGGGACACCAUGCCAACAGGGUCACAUGGAGCCUGUGCUCAGGAACAGAGUGGAUGACAAGGAUUGUGGGAGGCGAGAUACAGGGGUUAGAGCACAAAUUGUGCAGUGCCCCUUAGCAUUUGAUUUUUACUGAAAGAUGGGAACCCAGAAAAGGGAU